Non-coding RNA from Candidatus Bathyarchaeota archaeon RBG_13_60_20, 102 nucleotides. The record is from Rfam. NCBI's taxonomy places the organism in Archaea, Thermoproteati, Candidatus Bathyarchaeota.
GCCCCGGUAGCUUAGCCUGGCCAAAGCGCUUGCUUGGUAACCCCAAGCACCUGCUGCGGGCCAAACAGCAAGAGAUCGCGGGUCCAAAUCCCGCCCGGGGCU